UUUAAAAAUUGAUAAACUUUAAUUUCAUAUUAAUUUUUAAAAUGAAUAUUAAAUUGUUAACCUUAAUAUUUCUUUCUGUGAGUAUUUUUCUUGAAGUAAAAGUUGUUGAUUGUAGAAAAGAAAUAAAUGAGUAUGCAGCAUAUUUAAAACAAGUAAUGAAUCACAUGUGUUAUAACUUAUCACAUUUUAAACUGGAAUACUUGUCACUAAGAAAUGAAAAAAAUGAUAUUGUAAGGAUAAAUGAUAUUCUAAAUCAAAAAGUUAGUAAUGUUGAUAAAUUAAUAAUAACAUACUAUUAUAUAGUUGAUUUAAUCAACUAUUUAUUUAUUGAAGUACUACAAUUAUUUACUGAACACUUAAAAAUCAUUAUAGACGUUUGUGAAAAAUUGUAUGAAAAUAAUUUAUUUGAAAAUGCAACUUAUUGCACCAUAGUACUUUUAAAUACUGCCAAAAAUUCAAAUUUGAUGUUUGAUUAUUUAUACAAAGCUAUUACAUUUAUUGAUUACUUAGAUAUAAAUUCAGUGUGUGUAAAAUCAAUAGUACGUUCAAAAACGGUUGUAAAUGAAAUUUAUACCGUUAAAAAUUAUACGUCUUCAAUGAAAUCGACAGAAAUGCUGAAUUAUAUAAAUAAUGAUAAAAGCAUCAACAUUUUAGUAGCUAAAGAAGACUACAAAGAAAUAUAUAAUUUUGUUAAUAAAGUAGUUGAUACCACAGAUAAUUUUUUUAAAAACAAUUUUAAUGUUAUAAACAAUACAAUAAAAAUUAAUUUACAAGAAAAUUACUUUAAUGAAUACAAAACUACUAGGUGUAAAAUUAAUUUUGUCAAUUUUAUUAGUGAAAAAUUAAAUGUUUACUGUUUAACAACCAUUGAUAAAUAUUAUUUUAAUAUUGGAUUCCAUCAGUUCAUUAACCCUAAUAUAACCGGGCUCACACCUCCUCAGAACAUCGAAUUCCUUCAAGAUAAAGCAAUUGAAGUACUAAAUACUUUGUUCCGUGAAGGAAAUUGGAAGUUAUUGGACCAUAUAAGCAUAAUAAAUUAUGAUGAUAUAAUCACUACCAAUCGAAUUAUUAGAGACCCUGUAAAUAAUAGUAAUUUUAAUAUAAAAAAAAAAUAUUUUACUCAUCUGUUGAGAUGCAGAUACACUGAAGUAUUGAAAAAUUAUAAUACGUAUAUAUCUGCUAUAAUACAAACAUGCAGAAAUCAAAUAAAUUCUAACAAUAUAGAUGGUAUUAAAGAUUGUACAAUUCGAUUUAUUGAUGCGGUUAAAGAUUCAAAAAAUAUGUUUAAAUAUAUGUUGUCAGCUUUAAAUAAAUUAAAAGCUGUAUUUAUUUGGGAUUCGAACUAUAAAUCAAAUUCGUCAUUAAUAACAAUCUAUGAUAUAUUAAGUAAAUUUUUUCAUAAAAUUGAAAAUUUUUUAAAUUUAACGCCAUCAGAUUUUUUGAAUGUUUCAAACGAUGAUAUAAAAUUGAAAGCCAAUGUUUUUUUUUUUGAUUUUCAAAGAGAACGAAAACUUUUUAAUCAAAUGAUAACUACCGGAAAUGAAUAUAUGAAACAAUAUUGUUCCAUUAAAGGUGGUGUUAUAGACAAAAAUCAAUUAUUAAAAUCAUGGAAUGAAAUAGUAAUGUCAUCUAAUACUGGAUCGCUUAUGAUCGAUGUGGUUUAAUGCAAUGACCAGAAAACAAAUAUUUAAAAACUAAAUAUUCAACACACAACUCAACAACUACAUUGAAAAUUAAGAUUAAAGAGAUGAACGAUUACUAUAUUCCACUAUGAAUCUUGAAGAUUUUGCAGUCACGCAACAAACUAUGGUGGACUUACGCAAUUCGGCCGAAUAUAGUUUGCAUGUCACAAAUGUCGUAAAUAAUUUACGAUUGUCAAUUAUUGACAGCAACUCACAAGUUUAUAAUAAUACUGUAAAAUCUGACCAGGAGAAAUUGUGAACGUGAAGAAUACGUAGCAAUGGGAUUUACACGAUGAACAACAUGACAUUUUAUUUGUUUAAAAAAUGUAAUAAUCUUAUAAACUACUUAAUAUCAACUGAAGUUAAGUACAUGUAAUUCAAAACAAUAACGAAUAUAUUAAGUUCAGAUAAAAACUGUUCAUAAUAAUAUUUCAAUAGUAAAAUUGUUGCUAGCCGACAAACAAAAAAAAUAUUAAAAUAAACCAACUAAUACAACAGUUGAUAUAUAUAAAAGUGUCAGACCUUCCGGAACAUUUUCAAAAGUUAUGUUGAAAAAGUAAAUUUGUUGUGAAAAAGUUGUCAUUUUAAAUCCCCCCCUGUGGGCAGGUUAAGUGUCAGAUUUACAAAAAAAAUAUACCAAAUGAUAGACAAUUAUGGGUGAAUUGUUUUGGGAUUAAAAAUUUGAAAACUGAAGAAUCUACAUUUUACAUGUACCAUGAGGGUGAAGCUGGCAAGGAAUCCAACGAUGUGUGCUCUAUGUUACUGAAUUAUAUAAAAAUAAUACCGUUAUACGAUUUUUGCUAGCAUUGAUAGAUAGUCAACGAUUUGAAAGGAUUUACCACUUUUUCUUUUACAUUUUUACCUAACGAUCGAGAUUUUGGAGUUAUAAAAAAAAAAUAAGAAAGCAUGAUCGUAUAUAUAUGCCAGAUGAAUAUAUUAAAAUUGUGAAUGAAUGUAGUAAAAAGUUCAAAGUAAUAAAGUUUCAGACGGAUUAAGUUUACGAAUUUAAAAAAUAGUGGCCAUCAUACUACAAAAAGACAUGUUUAUCUGUUGAGACAUUUGGAAAAAAGUUCCAAAGGACCAAAAGCAAUCCUUUACCCUAUCUACAUCCAUGAGUUUUGAAUAUAAUACAAAAUAUAAGGUAUUGUAUUCACACAUAAUUUUAUCGAUGGGUUAUCAAAACACACAUUUAAACUAUUAAAAUUAACAACAAAUAAUAAUGUAGCAUUGCCAACAGCCAAGGUGUAUAAUAAUAGUGCCAAUAAACGCCCAAAAAACUGAAAACUUAAGACAAUUUAAAGAUGGUAUAAUUAAGGAGCAUAGGUUAUUUUAUGAAGAAAUAUAUAAAUGGCUAACUGCUGAUGAAAAAAAUAUGGAAGCUGAAAAUGUAGAACUUCAUAGGGAAUAUGAUUACGUACCAUGACAAUUUUCAAAAUAUUAUGUAUUAACGUAUUUUUUAUUUUUGUUAAGUUUUGAUCAGUUGUUUUUAAUAAUUUAAUGUUAGUUUACAUUUUUUUAUUGUAUUUUGAUUUUUAUCAAGUUUCAUUCAAAAAUGCUCUUGUAUUGUAACAUUUUAUCAAGUUAAAAAAUUUAGUUUUUGUUUUUAAGAAAAAAGAAAUAUUUCAUUUUUUGUAAAAUAAUAUGUAUUAUGAAAUGUGCAAUGGUUUAUUUUAUAUUGUGUUUUGA
RNA transcript from Daktulosphaira vitifoliae (grape phylloxera), 3368 nucleotides. RefSeq lists it as uncharacterized. The record is from RefSeq and is a predicted model, not a curated record. Lineage: Eukaryota; Metazoa; Arthropoda; Insecta; Hemiptera; Phylloxeridae. The transcript is spliced from 4 exons.